UACGUAGGCGGAUUAAUAAGUCAGUGGUGAAAACCUGCAGCUUAACUGUAGAACUGCCAUUGAUACUGUUAGUCUUGAGUACGGUCAAGGUAGGCGGAAUGUGUAAUGUAGCGGUGAAAUGCUUAGAUAUUACACAGAACACCGAUUGCGAAGGCAGCUUACUGGACCAUUACUGACGCUGAGGCACGAAAGCGUGGGGAGCGAACAGGAUUAGAUACCCUGGUAGUCC
This 229-nucleotide ribosomal RNA is filed under the name uncultured bacterium. Its description in RNAcentral is "partial 16S ribosomal RNA". It matches the Rfam family "Bacterial small subunit ribosomal RNA", at positions 568 to 796 of the family's 1533-position model. The record is from RNAcentral.